This 500-nucleotide ribosomal RNA is filed under the name Cladosporium oxysporum. Its description in RNAcentral is "eukaryotic LSU rRNA". The stretch from base 136 to 289 matches the Rfam family "5.8S ribosomal RNA". The record is from RNAcentral. Lineage: Eukaryota; Fungi; Ascomycota; Dothideomycetes; Cladosporiales; Cladosporiaceae.
CCGGGAUGUUCAUAACCCUUUGUUGUCCGACUCUGUUGCCUCCGGGGCGACCCUGCCUUCGGGCGGGGGCUCCGGGUGGACACUUCAAACUCUUGCGUAACUUUGCAGUCUGAGUAAACUUAAUUAAUAAAUUAAAACUUUUAACAACGGAUCUCUUGGUUCUGGCAUCGAUGAAGAACGCAGCGAAAUGCGAUAAGUAAUGUGAAUUGCAGAAUUCAGUGAAUCAUCGAAUCUUUGAACGCACAUUGCGCCCCCUGGUAUUCCGGGGGGCAUGCCUGUUCGAGCGUCAUUUCACCACUCAAGCCUCGCUUGGUAUUGGGCAACGCGGUCCGCCGCGUGCCUCAAAUCGACCGGCUGGGUCUUCUGUCCCCUAAGCGUUGUGGAAACUAUUCGCUAAAGGGUGCUCGGGAGGCUACGCCGUAAAACAAACCCAUUUCUAAGGUUGACCUCGGAUCAGGUAGGGAUACCCGCUGAACUUAAGCAUAUCAAUAAGCGGAGGA